GCUGACACAUCCCGGCCAAUCUCCAGCAGACCCUCCCUCCCAGGCCCUCCCACCUCCUGGACUGCAUCCAUGUUGAAGCUGCCUUCAACAUGGAUGCUGUCCAGGAAGUAGGAGGGUCUGGGAGGGAGGGUCUGCUGGAGAUUGGCCGGGAUGUGUCAG
RNAcentral lists this microRNA precursor (159 nucleotides) under Pelobates cultripes (western spadefoot toad). Lineage: Eukaryota; Metazoa; Chordata; Amphibia; Anura; Pelobatidae. The record is from RNAcentral.